RNAcentral lists this ribosomal RNA (503 nucleotides) under uncultured Lachnospiraceae bacterium. RNAcentral's name for it is "bacterial SSU rRNA". It matches the Rfam family "Bacterial small subunit ribosomal RNA", at positions 88 to 611 of the family's 1533-position model. The record is from RNAcentral. Lineage: Bacteria; Bacillati; Bacillota; Clostridia; Lachnospirales; Lachnospiraceae.
UGACUGAGCGGCGGACGUGUGAGUAACGCGUGGGUAACCUGCCUCAUACAGGGGAAUAACAGUUAGAAAUGGCUGCUAAUGCCGCAUAAGCGCACAGGACCGCAUGGUCUGGUGUGAAAAACUCCGGUGGUAUGAGAUGGACCCGCGUCUGAUUAGGUAGUUGGCGGGGUAACGGCCCACCAAGCCGACGAUCAGUAGCCGACCUGAGAGGGUGACCGGCCACAUUGGGACUGAGACACGGCCCAGACUCCUACGGGAGGCAGCAGUGGGGAAUAUUGCACAAUGGAGGAAACUCUGAUGCAGCGACGCCGCGUGAAGGAAGAAGUAUCUCGGUAUGUAAACUUCUAUCAGCAGGGAAGAAAAUGACGGUACCUGACUAAGAAGCCCCGGCUAACUACGUGCCAGCAGCCGCGGUAAUACGUAGGGGGCAAGCGUUAUCCGGAUUUACUGGGUGUAAAGGGAGCGUAGACGGACGGGCAGUCUGAUGUGAAGCCCGGGGCUUA